Molecule: ribosomal RNA, 253 nt
Filed under: uncultured bacterium
Lineage: Bacteria
Description: partial 16S ribosomal RNA
Rfam family: Bacterial small subunit ribosomal RNA
Source: RNAcentral
UACGGAGGGUGCAAGCGUUAUCCGGAUUCACUGGGUUUAAAGGGUGCGUAGGUGGGUAAGUAAGUCCGUGGUGAAAUCUCUGAGCUUAACUCAGAAACUGCCGUGGAUACUAUUUGCCUUGAAUAUUGUGGAGGUGAGCGGAAUAUGUCAUGUAGCGGUGAAAUGCUUAGAUAUGACAUAGAACACCAAUUGCGAAGGCAGCUCACUACACAAUCAUUGACGCUGAGGCACGAAAGCGUGGGGAUCAAACAGG